This is a long non-coding RNA of Diorhabda carinulata, 1398 nucleotides long. RefSeq lists it as uncharacterized. The record is from RefSeq and is a predicted model, not a curated record. The transcript has 3 exons. NCBI's taxonomy places the organism in Eukaryota, Metazoa, Arthropoda, Insecta, Coleoptera, Chrysomelidae.
UUAAUUUGAAAAACCUGAAUCACACCACUAAAAGUUACUAGAUUUAGAGAACAGCCCUGAUUAAGAGUGUGUUCCGAAAUCGUUGUGUUCAAAAUCUGAAUAUUAACUUCAAAACGGCUUUUCAUUGGCCCAGGUGACAAUCAUGGAACUGAAAUAAGUCAAAAGGUUAUGUUUCUAUUUAUAAAUAAUAAAUGUGGUAACCUGCUAAAUAAUUAUGUGAAUAAGUGGUACUUACCGUUUAUUUAUAAUAUGAGAAAUUAAUAACCACAUAGCGUAAGAAUAGCUAUCCUAUCACAAGGUUCUAUCGGACAAGAUCUUUCUACGCCAUAAGCUUCAAGAGCAUUCAAUGACUCGGUUUAAAAUUACUUUACAAUUGAGAAGGAGCUACUUACUAUUGUUUGGGCAACAAAAUAUUUUCGUCCAUAUUUAUAGGACCGUCAGUUCAAUAUAAUAAUAGAUAAUAAACCUCUUGUGUGGUUAAACUCUUUAAAAGAACCAAAUUCUAAAUUACUACGUUGGCGAAUUAAAUUAGAAGAAUUUGAUUAUAAAAUUUUCUACAGAAAAGGAAAAUCAAAUAAUGCAGAUUGUUUAUUGCGAAUAGAACUCCAUACUUAUGAUAUCAAUUUAUUUGGAACGAUAAGGCAUUUUGGAAAUGUGUCGAUGAAAUUUUAGGCGAAACAUCAAAUUAUUAAAAUAACCCUAUUACGUCCGAACAAGCGAAUCAAACAUUAAAUACCCAUUCACCAACUACCAAUAAACUAAUAAACGACAAUACCCUACAAGAUAAUGACGAUUGUUCAAUGAUAGCAUUGUAUGAAGAGUAGGAUAGGUUAACCUUAUGAGGAUAUCAUUUGACGAGGUGGACGCCACUAAUAGAUGGCAUUGGAGAGUUGGCGUCCACAGCACGUCUUUUCUACUGUACAUCGUAGCUUGAAUUACGUGAUUUCUUAGUUUUGGUUGCCGAAUUACCCCAAUAACAGAUGGCGCCAAAAUUAUUUAAAAUAUUAUAUUCAACCCUUAAGCUGUGUUGUAAAUUUUCUUAUUUUGGGUGUCUAUAGCAAAGUUGCAAUUUGAGUUCAUUAUUGUAUUGUGUUCGUUGAGUUUCGUUGGUUGUGCAUUUGGAUUAUUUUUUUAUUUGAGAAUAUUUGAACUUGGAUAUAUAUUUCAUUUUUAAGAAAUGGCUGGAAAUAAGAGUGUUUAUUUCAAGUGUGGACUAAGUAAGAGAUCAGAUCCUACAAUUAAAAUGUACCGAUUUCCUAUGAAUGACCCUACUAGAUGUCAAAAAUGGAUCAUACACUCGGCUAACCUGUCUGGAUUACAGCCUGUUGUAGGAUAACCAAUGAGGUACCUAGUAGUGUAUAUCUCUAAUAUUUACAAGUGGUCACUCUGAGAGCAGUU